AGACGGGAGAGUAACACGUGGGAACGUGCCCUUUGGUUCGGAACAACACAGGGAAACUUGUGCUAAUACCCGGAUAAGUCCGUAAGGAGAAAGAUUUAUCGCCAAAGGAUCGGCCCGCGUCUGAUUAGCUUGUUGGUGAGGUAACGGUCACCAAGGCGACGAUCAGUAGCUGGUCUGAGAGGAUGAUCAGACUCACUGGGACUGAGACACGGCCCAGACUCCUACGGGAGGCAGCAGUGGGGAACUAUUGGACAAUGGGCGGCAAAGCCUGAUCCAGCCAUGCCGCGUGGAUAUGAAAGGACCUAGGGUUGUAAAAGGUCCUUUCGACGGGGAAGACGACUGUGACGGUACCACGGUAG
Molecule: ribosomal RNA, 359 nt
Filed under: uncultured bacterium
Lineage: Bacteria
Description: bacterial SSU rRNA
Rfam family: Bacterial small subunit ribosomal RNA
Source: RNAcentral